Molecule: transfer RNA, 62 nt
Filed under: Empoascanara alami
Lineage: Eukaryota; Metazoa; Arthropoda; Insecta; Hemiptera; Cicadellidae
Also listed under: 1 other name
Description: tRNA-Tyr
Source: RNAcentral
ACUAAGAUGUCUGAUUUAAGUAGUAAACUGUAAAUUUAUUUAAAGGUUUUACCUUCUUAGUA